CAGAGAGAAGAUUAGCAUGGCCCCUGAGCAAGGAUGACAUGCAAAUUUAUGAAGCAUUCCAUAUUUUA
Molecule: small nuclear RNA, 68 nt
Filed under: Erinaceus europaeus (western European hedgehog)
Lineage: Eukaryota; Metazoa; Chordata; Mammalia; Eulipotyphla; Erinaceidae
Source: RNAcentral